Molecule: long non-coding RNA, 1670 nt
Organism: Mesocricetus auratus (golden hamster)
Lineage: Eukaryota; Metazoa; Chordata; Mammalia; Rodentia; Cricetidae
Exons: 2
Source: RefSeq, a predicted model, not a curated record
GCCAAUGCAUCUUGGAUGUUGACCACCCCCACCUGGCGCCGUCACAUCUUCUCUGAGCUUCACCCUCCCCAAUACCUGAGGUACCCUGUCAGAUAAGGCAAGGCAAGUGGGUGCCAACUAGCUGCAUGGAGCUUGGGCCUUUCAUCUGGCAUGCGGAACCUGGAUAAAAUGAGGUCACCUCUCCACACUGCACCAGAGAGAGGGAAUACUGUGAGGACAGCUUGUGUGACAGCUCCUCAUUCUUCCCUGUCACAGGACAGGGUCAGAUUCCAUAGCCACCACCUCAUGCCUCCUGGAGUAACUCUAGCUGAGAUGGAGUGCUUGUGUGGAUUGUGUUUGCUUGGUGAGGAGGGGGACUCAGGACACAUUAAAGUGUGGGGACAGAUUGGCUACCACUGCGCCUACUUACUGGGCCAGCCGGCCUGCGUUGGGGCAGGCAGAGUCCCAUUUCCAGUGGUUUCCACUUAGGCAAGGGCUACCCUGGUUGGGCGUGGGCUGGCAGGUGUUAGCUCUGGUGGAGACCCCUAAGGGUUUGGGGUACAAAGUCACUUAUGACACUUAGCCCUUCCCGUUUCUACUCAGCACCACCUAUAUGCUGUCUUCCUGGCCACCAGCCACUGCUUAGGCAAUGGCAAUCUAAAGGCAAGGGAUGGUCACAGAGCUGGUGGAGCGGGUGGCAUGACAACCAAUGUCCCUGCUCCGUUUGGGCCUCAGUUUCUCAUGUGCAAAUGGGAGGUGACACAAUGACCUCAGGGGCUCUGGGAUCCCUCUGAGACUCUGCCCCACUUCCUCUUUUAUCAGCAGGAAAUAGGAUCAGCCUCCAGUGCCAUCCUAGAGACCAGCGUACAGAGAAAGGGUCUGAUACAGAGGCCAGACUAGUAUCAGCCUAAUGAGGAUGCCUUGGACCUUUUGCUCAGGCUUCUGGCAUUCAGUCCUCUGGCCUUCCUGUGAGACAAGCACCAGCCUCUGGGGUCAACCCUAGGUUCUGUGCCUCUCACCAGUUGGGGAAGGUGGAACAAAGGGGAAAGGAAGCAGCCAGACAGCCUGAGGGCAGUUGUAACCUCAAUGGCUGCAAAGGCUCCGAACACACGGCCCAAAGGAGCACGGACACCACCACCCGACUCCCUGGUGCAGCACCAGGACAGGCAGAGCCUUGCAUCUUUAUCCUCGCUGCACAGACUCAUGUCUGCCUCGAAGUCCAGGAUCCGCACCAAGGGCCACACCGCCUCACCACCACCCAAUGGGAGACAGUGAUUUCUGCUACAAAGAUCAGCCACACUGUCCUUAGGAGCCAGCUACAGACAAACCCAUGAAGGCCCUCAUACUGUUUGUUAGUUUGGUUGCUAAGAAAAGCCCCAAGGCUAGAAGGCUGUCCUCCUGGGGAGCUGGGGGUGGGGGAAGCAGCUGUGGGCACUGACCUGAACUUUCCUGUCCGCACCUGCAGGGCUCUCAUUCCACACUGCUGGGCACCGCCAACGUCACCCACGAUGUCAUCGCCGAUCAUGAUGGCCUGUCAGCAGUGAAAUAUGCUCAGAAGUUAUGUCAGGAGAGUUUUAUUCCUGAGUUCUUGGUAUCUUUCUUCUUUUUUCUUAUCUUGACGUAAUAAACUGAUUGAUUUGAUGUUUAAAGCCACCAUCAUCCAAAUUAAACAAGAUAAUAUUGUCACUGUA